Long non-coding RNA from Coregonus clupeaformis (lake whitefish), 876 nucleotides. RefSeq lists it as uncharacterized. The transcript is spliced from 3 exons. The record is from RefSeq and is a predicted model, not a curated record. Lineage: Eukaryota; Metazoa; Chordata; Actinopteri; Salmoniformes; Salmonidae.
GAGAGAGAAAACGAGACAGACACGGAGAGGGAGGGAGGGAAAGUGAGAGAGACCGUAUGAGACAGAGAGGAAUACAUGCAAGAAGAAAAUCAAGGAAAACUGAGGAUUUGUUGAUGGGAAACGGACUUCAAUAAAACACUGAAAAGGCUGCAACAAGGGACAAGGGCUGCUGCCUCCUCAUUCCGAACCAGACCUGGAUUCACACAUACGGACACACAUGCACGGCCCAGCUGUGUAGCUAGUUUAUUAGAUAAUGAGCAGGUAGGAGAGACAGUGCCGUCUACUUGGCCAUCUGUGAGGGCACCUCCCUGUCCAGGUUAAAGGAGCUUUAGGAUUAAACAGUCCCACCACGCUAUGUGGAUUAAUCACUACUCAGGACUAACCUAAUUAAUCCAAGAGGGAUAUGUCACCAGUGUAUGCCAACAGUCGCCACAGUCUCCUCUAACCUCAUGGCAGCCUAUUCAUUUGGUAGUGCACUACUUUUGGCCGGAGCACACCCUAUUCACUUUAUAGCACACUACUUUUACCUAGAGCGCACCCUAUUCCCCAUACUGUCUCCUACUUAUGUAGUGUACUACAAAGGCUCUGGACAAAAGUGGUGCACUAUAUAGGGAAUAAGGUGCCAUUUCAGAUAUGGCCUGUUUCCUAUGUGAUGUGGGGGAAGAGGGGAAGACAGACGUACCAUCCUCUUACAGCAUCUGAAGCCACACAGUGUCUCGUUUAACAUAUUCCGGUCAAGUCGGGUCUAUCAACAGCGAGAGGAGCCAUGGAAAUCCCCCUGCUUAGAGUCAAGAGAAAGAUUGGUUGAUCCUGUUCUCUUCUUCUCUUUGUUCUCUUUGUCUCUUUCUUUAUUUUCUCUUUCUUUCUGUCUACUGA